This 255-nucleotide ribosomal RNA is filed under the name Streptococcus agalactiae. Its description in RNAcentral is "partial 16S ribosomal RNA". It matches the Rfam family "Bacterial small subunit ribosomal RNA", at positions 1 to 246 of the family's 1533-position model. The record is from RNAcentral. Lineage: Bacteria; Bacillati; Bacillota; Bacilli; Lactobacillales; Streptococcaceae. RNAcentral also lists the same sequence under 1 other name.
UUUAAUGAGAGUUUGAUCCUGGCUCAGGACGAACGCUGGCGGCGUGCCUAAUACAUGCAAGUAGAACGCUGAGGUUUGGUGUUUACACUAGACUGAUGAGUUGCGAACGGGUGAGUAACGCGUAGGUAACCUGCCUCAUAGCGGGGGAUAACUAUUGGAAACGAUAGCUAAUACCGCAUAAGAGUAAUUAACACAUGUUAGUUAUUUAAAAGGAGCAAUUGCUUCACUGUGAGAUGGACCUGCGUUGUAUUAGCU